AUACGGAGGGUGCAAGCGUUACUCGGAAUCACUGGGCGUAAAGCGCGCGCAGGCGGCUAUUUAAGUUGGAUGUGAAAGCCUAUGGCUCAACCAUAGAACUGCAUCCAAAACUAUUUAGCUAGAGUGUGGGAGAGGAAGAUGGAAUUAGUUGUGUAGGGGUAAAAUCCGUAGAGAUAACUAGGAAUACCAAAAGCGAAGGCAAUCUUCUGGAACACUACUGACGCUGAGGCGCGAAAGCGAGGGGAGCAAACAGGAUUAGAAACCCGAGUAGUCC
Molecule: ribosomal RNA, 274 nt
Filed under: uncultured bacterium
Lineage: Bacteria
Description: partial 16S ribosomal RNA
Rfam family: Bacterial small subunit ribosomal RNA
Source: RNAcentral